AGAGUUUGAUCUGGGCUCAGGACGAACGCUGGCAGCGUGCCUAAUACAUGCAAGUCGAACGAACUCUGGUAUUGAUUGGUGCUUGCAUCAUGAUUUACAUUUGAGUGAGUGGCGAACUGGUGAGUAACACGUGGGAAACCUGCCCAGAAGAGGGGGAUAACACCUGGAAACAGAUGCUAAUACCGCAUAACAACUUGGACCGCAUGGUCCGAGUUUGAAAGAUGGCUUCGGCUAUCACUUUUGGAUGGUCCCGCGGCGUAUUAGCUAGAUGGUGAGGUAACGGCUCACCAUGGCAAUGAUACGUAGCCGACCUGAGAGGGUAAUCGGCCACAUUGGGACUGAGACACGGCCCAAACUCCUACGGGAGGCAGCAGUAGGGAAUCUUCCACAAUGGACGAAAGUCUGAUGGAGCAACGCCGCGUGAGUGAAGAAGGGUUUCGGCUCGCAAAACUCUGCUGUUAAAGAAGAACAUAUCUGAGAGUAACUGUUCAGGUGUUGACGGUAUUUAACCAGAAAGCCACGGCUAACUACGUGCCAGCAGCCGCGGUAAUACGUAGGUGGCAAGCGUUGUCCGGAUUUAUUGGGCGUAAAGCGAGCGCAGGCGGUUUUUUAAGUCUGAUGUGAAAGCCUUCGGCUCAACCGAAGAAGUGCAUCGGAAACUGGGAAACUUGAGUGCAGAAGAGGACAGUGGAACUCCAUGUGUAGCGGUGAAAUGCGUAGAUAUAUGGAAGAACACCAGUGGCGAAGGCGGCUGUCUGGUCUGUAACUGACGCUGAGGCUCGAAAGUAUGGGUAGCAAACAGGAUUAGAUACCCUGGUAGUCCAUACCGUAAACGAUGAAUGCUAAGUGUUGGAGGGUUUCCGCCCUUCAGUGCUGCAGCU
RNAcentral lists this ribosomal RNA (881 nucleotides) under uncultured bacterium. RNAcentral describes it as "bacterial SSU rRNA". It matches the Rfam family "Bacterial small subunit ribosomal RNA", at positions 8 to 853 of the family's 1533-position model. The record is from RNAcentral.